RNAcentral lists this ribosomal RNA (397 nucleotides) under Aurospio sp. RG-2014. Its description in RNAcentral is "partial 16S ribosomal RNA". It matches the Rfam family "Bacterial large subunit ribosomal RNA", at positions 1860 to 2520 of the family's 2925-position model. Lineage: Eukaryota; Metazoa; Annelida; Polychaeta; Spionida; Spionidae. The record is from RNAcentral.
UGCCCAGUGACAUAAUAGUUUAACGGCCGCGGUAUCCUGACCGUGCUAAGGUAGCAUAAUCAUUUGCCUUUUAAUUGGAGGCUCGUAUGAACGGAUAAACGAAAGCGUAGUUGUCUCUUAUAUAACUCUGUAAAUUAUCCUUUAGGUGAAGAGCCCUAAAUAAUAUAAAAAGACGAAAAGACCCUAUGGAGCUUUACUUAAUUUUCUUUACUGUUUAAUCAAAAAAUAAACUAUAACUUAAUAAAGUUUAGUUGGGGCGACUAAGGAGCACAAUAAACCCUCCUACCAUAAAUUGGACAUACUCCUAUGAUAGAUCCAUUUUCAUGAAUAUAAACUCAGCUACCCUAGGGAUAACAGGCUAAUCUUCCUCGAGAGCCCAAAUUGACAGGAAGGGUUG